CGCUUUUUUGUUAAGUAAUGACAGUUUGGUAAAUUUGUUAAGUAAUCGUCUCUUUUUCCAUUAUCAGUUUCUCUUCCAUCAAUUCAUUUUCUCUCCCCCCCUACAAACUCUCUCUUCACGCACCCUCAAUUUUGCAGAUUUCAUCUUCUCAUCUUCGUGCAUCGUUCUAGCAAGUGUAUGGGCAACAGCAAUGCAUUCAAAGAGGGAGUGCAGAAAUUGUGAAUAUUUGCUACUGCAGAACCAAUUACUUAUGGAUCAACUAGAGCAUUCACGCGUACAGGUACUUCACUGUCCGCUAAACCAGAAGUCACUUCUAAUGCAGCAGCUGAAUAUGUACUUGCUUCUCCUAUGGCAUGAAGUUUCCUGCCCAACAAUUUCCAACUGUGAACUCGUUAAUCUUAACCAUCUGCAAGAUAUCUACCUGCAAGUGAGCAAGAAAAGUUAAGGUGGAACAAUUGGAGUAUCUCCUUUUGCUUGUAUAUUGUCAGAUUCUCAAGUAUGCUGGGCAUUCAACAAAAAUAUGUAAUACUGUUUGGUUAAAUUUGCUAUAGUCUGUUCAGAUUUUGCGGAUAUAAUUAAUAUAUGUGUUUUGGUUACAAUUUACAAGUGACUAAGCUGCACAUUUUGAUGCAAGUAGAAGACUCUUUAUAUACAAGAAUUUGAUAGAUAAUAUUCAAAGAAACAAAUGACACUAUUGUCAUA
Chenopodium quinoa (quinoa) is the source of this 702-nucleotide long non-coding RNA. RefSeq lists it as uncharacterized. The record is from RefSeq and is a predicted model, not a curated record. NCBI's taxonomy places the organism in Eukaryota, Viridiplantae, Streptophyta, Magnoliopsida, Caryophyllales, Amaranthaceae. The transcript has 2 exons.